RNAcentral lists this unclassified non-coding RNA (384 nucleotides) under uncultured Phycisphaeraceae bacterium. RNAcentral describes it as "contains 16S-23S intergenic spacer region". The record is from RNAcentral. Lineage: Bacteria; Pseudomonadati; Planctomycetota; Phycisphaerae; Phycisphaerales; Phycisphaeraceae.
UCCGGUUUGACACCGGCAGUCUCAUUAGAGUCCCCAGCUUUACCUGUUGGCAACUAAUGAUAGGGGUUUCGCUCGUUAAGGGACUUAACCCGACACUUCACAGCACGAGCUGACGACAGCCAUGCAGCACCUGUGCACGUUCCACUCAAAGAGUGUCAUCCGUCUUUCAACGAACUAAUCCGUGCAUGUCAAGCCUUGGAUAAGGUUCUUCGCGUUGCUUCGAAUUAAGCCACAUGCUCCACCGCUUGUGUGAGCCCCCGUCAAUUCCUUUGAGUUUUAGCCUUGCGACCGUACUCCCCAGGCGGUACACUUAGCACUUUAGCUUCGGCCCCGAUGGCGUCAGAGCCCCCAGGACCUAGUGUACAUCGUUUAGGGCGUGGACUA